This 493-nucleotide ribosomal RNA is filed under the name uncultured organism. RNAcentral describes it as "SSU rRNA". It matches the Rfam family "Bacterial small subunit ribosomal RNA", at positions 18 to 509 of the family's 1533-position model. The record is from RNAcentral.
CCUGGCUCAGGACGAACGCUGGCGGCGUGCCUAACACAUGCAAGUCGAACGAAGCUCCCGAUCUGAUCCUUCGGGUGAAGAGAAGGAAGACUUAGUGGCGGACGGGUGAGUAACGCGUGAGCAACCUGCCUUUCAGAGGGGGAUAACAGUUGGAAACGACUGCUAAUACCGCAUAACAUAUUGAUGUCGCAUGGCAUUGAUAUCAAAGCUGAGGCGCUGAAAGAUGGGCUCGCGUCCGAUUAGAUAGUUGGUGGGGUAACGGCCUACCAAGUCGACGAUCGGUAGCCGGACUGAGAGGUUGAACGGCCACAUUGGGACUGAGACACGGCCCAGACUCCUACGGGAGGCAGCAGUGGGGGAUAUUGCACAAUGGGCGAAAGCCUGAUGCAGCAACGCCGCGUGAGGGAAGACGGUUUUCGGAUUGUAAACCUCUGUCUUUGGUGAAGAAGAAAGUGACGGUAGCCAAGGAGGAAGCCACGGCUAACUACGUGCC